UACGGAGGGUGCAAGCAUUAAUCGGAUUUAUUGGGCGUAAAGGGCGCGUAGGCGGUAAUGUAAGUCAGAUGUGAAAUUCCGAGAGCUUAACUCCGGAGCUGCAUUUGAAACUGCAAUACUAGAGGGUUGACGGAGGAAAUGGAAUUCCAUGUGUAGCGGUGAAAUGCGUAGAUAUAUGGAAGAACACCAGUGGCGAAAGCGGUUUUCUAGUUAAUACCUGACGCUGAGGCGCGAGAGCAAGGGGAGCAAACAGG
RNAcentral lists this ribosomal RNA (254 nucleotides) under uncultured bacterium. RNAcentral's name for it is "partial 16S ribosomal RNA". It matches the Rfam family "Bacterial small subunit ribosomal RNA", at positions 524 to 776 of the family's 1533-position model. The record is from RNAcentral.